AGAGUUUGAUCCUGGCUCAGAUUGAACGCUGGCGGCAUGCCUAACACAUGCAAGUCGAACGAGAUCACCUCGGUGGUCUAGUGGCGGACGGGUGAGUAAUACAUGGGAAUCUGCCUUUUAGUGGGGGAUAACGUAGGGAAACUUACGCUAAUACCGCAUACGCUCUACGGAGGAAAGGGGGGGAUCGCAAGACCUCUCGCUAAAAGAUGAGCCCAUGUCUGAUUAGCUAGUUGGUGGGGUAAAGGCCUACCAAGGCGACGAUCAGUAGCCGGUCUGAGAGGGCGUACGGCCACACUGGGACUGAGACACGGCCCAGACUCCUACGGGAGGCAGCAGCGGGGAAUAUUGGACAAUGGGCGAAAGCCUGAUCCAGCAAUGCCGCGUGUGUGAAGAAGGCCUUCGGGCUGUAAAGCACUUUAAGCACGAAAGAAGAAGGCUAUAUUAAUACCAUGACCUUUUGACGUUACCUGCAGAAUAAGCACCGGCUAACUCCGUGCCAGCAGCCGCGGUGAUACGGAGGGGGCAAGCGUUGUCCGGACUUAUUGGGCGUAACGGGUACGUAGGUGAUUCUAUGCGUCGGCACUGAAAGCUCCCGGCUUAACUGGGAGAGGCGUGGCGAUAUGAUAGACCUUGAGGCGGGGAGAGGUUAGCAGAAUUCCGGGUGUAGUUGUGAAAUGCGUAGAUAUCCGGAGGAAUACCUGUGGCGAAGGCGUCUAUCUGGCCCUGUCCUGCCACUGAGGUAAGAAAGCUUGGGGACCGAACCGGAUUAGAUACCCUGGUACUC
Molecule: ribosomal RNA, 784 nt
Filed under: uncultured bacterium
Lineage: Bacteria
Description: bacterial SSU rRNA
Rfam family: Bacterial small subunit ribosomal RNA
Source: RNAcentral